GCAUGUGGCUUAGUGGUAGGGAGCAGGGCUCGUAACCGAAAGGUUGCUGGUUCGAUUCCCCCCUGGUGCA
Megalops atlanticus (tarpon) is the source of this 70-nucleotide non-coding RNA. The record is from the annotation of a GenBank genome assembly. NCBI's taxonomy places the organism in Eukaryota, Metazoa, Chordata, Actinopteri, Elopiformes, Megalopidae.